This 498-nucleotide ribosomal RNA is filed under the name uncultured bacterium. Its description in RNAcentral is "partial 16S ribosomal RNA". It matches the Rfam family "Bacterial small subunit ribosomal RNA", at positions 30 to 523 of the family's 1533-position model. The record is from RNAcentral.
AUUGAACGCAGGCGGCAUGCCUUACACAUGCAAGUCGAACGGUAACAGGUCUUCGGAUGCUGACGAGUGGCGAAAGGGUGAGUAAUAAAUCGGAACGUGCCAGAUCGUGGGGGAUAACUACCCGAAAGAGUAGAUAAUACCGUCUACGAUCUACGGAAGAAAGCGGGGGAUCUUCGGCACUCGUUGGGACGGAGAGGCCGAUGGCAGAUUAGGUAGUUGGAGGGAUAAAAGAUUACAAAGCCGACGAUCUGUAGCUGGUCUGAGAGGACGACCAGCCACACUGGGACUGAGACACGGCACAGACUCCUACGGGAGGCAGCAGUGGGGAAUUUUGGACAAUGGGCGAAAGCCUGAUCCAGCAAUGCCGCGUGCAGGAUGAAGGCCUUCGGGUUGUAAACUGCUUUUGUACGGAACGAAAAGACUCCUUCUAAUACAGGGGGUAAAUGACGGUACCUUAAUAAUAAGCACCGGCUAACUACGUGCCAGCAGCCGCGGUAA